Molecule: ribosomal RNA, 253 nt
Filed under: uncultured bacterium
Lineage: Bacteria
Description: partial 16S ribosomal RNA
Rfam family: Bacterial small subunit ribosomal RNA
Source: RNAcentral
UACGUAGGGACCAAGCGUUGUCCGGAAUCAUUGGGCGUAAAGAGCGUGUAGGCGGCUUGUUAAGUCUUGCGUGAAAUCUUGCGGCUCAACCGCAAGCGGUCGUGGGAAACUGGGUGGCUAGAGUGCGGGAGAGGAGAGUGGAAUUCCUGGUGUAGCGGUGGAAUGCGCAGAUAUCAGGAAGAACACCCGUGGCGAAGGCGGCUCUCUGGAACGCAACUGACGCUGAGACGCGAAAGCGUGGGGAGCAAACAGG